This is a long non-coding RNA of Bos grunniens (domestic yak), 2876 nucleotides long. NCBI's taxonomy places the organism in Eukaryota, Metazoa, Chordata, Mammalia, Artiodactyla, Bovidae. The record is from Ensembl.
CACGUGCCCCUGAAAUGCAACCGAGGCCACGUCCCACGUCUUCUGGGGGAGGGGAGGAUGGCCACCCUCCGAGGGCGUGGUUCCUGGAGGAAACGGGUGAGCAGGGUGAGCCCAGGUAGGUGAUCACACCUCAUCCAAAGCGGUUACGGGUUGUGUGUGAUCAUGUGACCGGACAUUGCUGGCCCCACCCUGCACCCACUGUUGCAGGUCCUUGGGGUUUUGAGGGUCACGGUUUCCUCCUCUCAAGGGGUCCCUGUUUCCUCACCUUGUGCACCCUGCCCUCUCUCUAAGGCAUCAUCCUUUUCUCUUUACUCUGACCCGCUUGUGCCCCAUCUUCCACCCCAGACCGCAGGGGACAUCCAGUCCAGGAGCGGGUUCAUUCAUCAACAGUUCCUUUUCCGCUCAGGGCCCUGUGGAGUCAGGAAAGGUCAUCUAAAGCAGCGUUCUCUCCUUCCUCCUUCCCUGAGGAAGCCCAGCGGUCCCUGCCAGUCCUGCCAAAAGAUGGCUAAAACUCUGAAGGACUCUAGUAGAGUUCAGAUGUGAGCGUGAGCGGGGGUGGGGCUCAGCCUCUGCGGGGCGUUGGCAACACUGCAGACCAGAGGUCUCGUGGGGCGGGGUCUGCACUUUGCAAGCAGCUCCCCCUCUGCUCUGAAGAGGGAGAAAACCCGAGGAGCCGGCCUGGGACCCUCUUAAGAUUCUUCCAAGGGAGGGACUGCCUCUCUGGUGCUGGGGGCCAGGGUGCAUGGGGUUUGCUUGUAGCCUAUUUUAGGGGGAGGGGAGGGGCAUGUGCCGGAAGAGGCUGCUGGGGGUGGGGGAGGGUUGCUUUUUCUUUGGGGUUAAAGGCUGUGCAGCACGUUUUAGGACAGCCCCCAGAAUGGGGCUGUCUUUAUAUCAUUGUGAAUGAAACUGCUCUUGCUAAAUUAUUUUCUUCUGGUGGGGAGGGUGCACUUUCAUUUUCAAUUCACUUUAUUAAAGGAAAAUCGCAAUCUUCCAUUCCUCCCCUCCCCCCAUCGCCCCCCACCCCACCCCCACACCUUCCUCUUAAGGAGGGAAUCUUGGUGAAUGAGUUAUUACCUCUCCUCGCGCCCCCCACCUGUACAUCCCAUACUCCGUCUUCCAGGUCUGGGAAAUAUCCAUUUUUAUGGCCAGUCUUAGCAUGUUUUCUUAAUGUGACAUUUCCACCCCAGGCCCAAGAGAGAUUCUAUGACAUAUAUUACAGAGAGAAUUAUAUAUAAAUAUAUAUAUAAAUACUAUAGAUUAUACACACAGGAGCAGGGGCUCCAGGGCCCACGGCUAGGCCCCUCCCCAGCUGCAGCCUCUCUCUCUCGGCCCUGGGGAGGCGGAAGGGGUGUCCUGCUGGAGAUGGUUCCAGGCUGUGUUCAAUGGCACUAAACACUGUGGUGGCACCUUCGGCUAUGAGUGUCUUAUUUGGGGGGCGGUGGAGGCUGGGCAUGGGGCGGGAAGGAGGAGGAUGCCAGGGAUGGGCACAACUAAAGAAUUAAAGGAGGCAUAACGGUAGGCUCCGGGAGUUGGUGAUGGACAAGGAAGCCUGGCAUGCUGCAUGCAGUCCAUGGGGUCGCAGAGUCUGACGCGACUGAGCAGCUGAACUGAACUGAAAAGAAGGGAGCAACGAAAGCCUUGGGGGUGGAUUCAAGAGCACCUGGGACCACUUGCAGAGAAGGCAGGGUAAUGGCAGGCUCCCUGUCACUGGCUUGGGGAGGAUAAGGGUCUCUGACUUCCCAAGUGCCGGAGGCAUCAAAGAGCUGGGCCAUUUCAACACUGAACCUCUAGGAGAGGAAUACAAAGGACCAGCCCCGAAGAAGCGUGGGGGUGAACCAGUGGCCCAGCUGCCCUGAGCCUUGGGUCUGGGCAGGAGAAGCCCCGGCUAGAUCAGCUCAAGAACAGAGCUGACCCUCGGGCAGGACAGAUCAAGGAGGACAGUGGGAGAGGGAGUGACCUGGAAACCGGAGGGUGAGGAAGCUGUAAUUCGAGAUGCCAGAGGGAGUAAAAUAAAUCCAUCAGGGCCGCGUGACUGUUGAGCCAUACACAGAGCCUUCCCGUGACCGUCCCUCUUCUAGGCUCUUCCCCCAAUAGGCUCUGUAUGCAUGUCUCACUGCCUAAAUGGAGGACGGAGAGGGAAGUAGGAAUGGCCUUUUCCCGCCCGAGAAAUUGAGGCCAGACCCUGGGAGCUCAGAUGGUAAAGCAUCUGCCUGCAGUGUGGGAGACCCAGGUUCGAUCCCUGGGUUGGGAAGAUCCCCUGGAGAAGGAAAUGGCAACCCACUCCAGUACUCUCACCUGGAAAAUUCCAUGGACAGAGGAGCCUGGUAGGGCUACAGUCCAUGGGGUUACAAAGAGUCAGACACAACUGAGCAACGUCACUUUCUAGUAGGAGCCAGAAUAGAGUCUGGAGGCAAAUUUCAGGGAGUGGCUUCGGGCAAGUGGAGGACAGGGUGGAGGGCUCUGAGAGAAGGCGCUGUGGAUGGUUUGCCAGUACAUUCAAGGGCCAUCAGUCCACGAGGCCAUGAGGUGGUCCCAUCUCCUCCUCCAGCAUGCCACAGGCAGGACCACAGUCAUCCUGGGUCUCCCUUAACCCACCCCCUGGGGAACUGAUGGGAGGAUGGGCAAGGCCGGGAAGGCACUGGGACAAGAACACUGGGGGCGGGGGAGGGUGGGUUGUGGGGGAUGCACGGGAGAGGCAGGUAUUCCCCACCCACACACGGGCAAACUCAGGAAGCCCAUGGAAUAUCAGGGGCCCUUCACACAGAUCCACUGCCUAUCUGGGGUUGGGAGGGCAAGGCCCAAAUGACUGACCAAGGCUACCCCCUGCCCAAAUUCCAGUUCUUCCUCCAAGGAUCACAUUUUUAAAAACUCCCAGG